RNAcentral lists this ribosomal RNA (543 nucleotides) under uncultured bacterium. RNAcentral's name for it is "bacterial SSU rRNA". It matches the Rfam family "Bacterial small subunit ribosomal RNA", at positions 355 to 916 of the family's 1533-position model. The record is from RNAcentral.
UGGGGAAUCUUGGACAAUGGGGGCAACCCUGAUCCAGCCAUGCCGCGUGGACGAUGAAGGCCCUAGGGUUGUAAAGUCCUUUCACCGGUGAAGAUAAUGACGGUAGCCGGAGAAGAAGCCCCGGCUAACUCCGUGCCAGCAGCCGCGGUAAUACGGAGGGGGCUAGCGUUGUUCGGAAUUACUGGGCGUAAAGCGCGCGUAGGCGGACUGAUCAGUCAGGGGUGAAAUCCCGGGGCUCAACCCCGGAACUGCCUUUGAUACUGUCAGUCUUGAGUCCGGAAGAGGCGAGUGGAAUACCGAGUGUAGAGGUGAAAUUCGUAGAUAUUUGGAGGAACACCAGUGGCGAAGGCGGCUCACUGGCUCGAUACUGACGCUGAGGUGCGAAAGUGUGGGGAGCAAACAGGAUUAGAUACCCUGGUAGUCCACACCGUAAACGAUGAAUGCCAGUCGUCGGGUAGCAUGCUAUUCGGUGACACACCUAACGGAUUAAGCAUUCCGCCUGGGAGUACGGUCGCAAGAUUAAAAGCUCAAAUGAAUUGACGG